Molecule: ribosomal RNA, 232 nt
Filed under: uncultured bacterium
Lineage: Bacteria
Description: partial 16S ribosomal RNA
Rfam family: Bacterial small subunit ribosomal RNA
Source: RNAcentral
GAUCCUGGCUCAGGAUGAACACUAGCUACAGGCUUAACACAUGCAAGUCGAGGGGAAACGAUAUUGGAAGCUUGCUUCCGAUAGGCGUCGACCGGCGCACGGGUGAGUAACGCGUAUCCAACCUGCCCACCACUUGGGGAUAACCUUGCGAAAGUAAGACUAAUACCCAAUGAUAUCUCUAGAAGACAUCUGAAAGAGAUUAAAGGUUCAUCGGUGAUGGAUGGGGAUGCGU